AGAAUUAAAGAUCAUUGAAGAAACAAAACAGAAGCUCCAAAAGUCGAAAAAGAAGAACAAAUCAUAAGAGCUUUCUUUGGCCUUUAUUUUUCUCUUCUCUUCUCUUCUCUUUAUU
Molecule: non-coding RNA, 115 nt
Filed under: uncultured Tubulinea
Lineage: Eukaryota; Tubulinea
Source: RNAcentral